GAUGAACGCUGGCGGCGUGCCUAAUACAUGCAAGUCGAGCGAACAGACGAGGAGCUUGCUCCUCUGACGUUAGCGGCGGACGGGUGAGUAACACGUGGAUAACCUACCUAUAAGACUGGGAUAACUUCGGGAAACCGGAGCUAAUACCGGAUAAUAUAUUGAACCGCAUGGUUCAAUAGUGAAAGACGGUUUUGCUGUCACUUAUAGAUGGAUCCGCGCCGCAUUAGCUAGUUGGUAAGGUAACGGCUUACCAAGGCAACGAUGCGUAGCCGACCUGAGAGGGUGAUCAGCCACACUGGAACUGAGACACGGUCCAGACUCCUACGGGAGGCAGCAGUAGGGAAUCUUCCGCAAUGGGCGAAAGCCUGAUAGAGCAACGCCGCGUGAGUGAUGAAGGUCUUCGGAUCGUAAAGCUCUGUUAUUAGGGAAGAACAAAUGUGUAAGUAACUAUGCACGUCUUGACGGUACCUACACAGAAAGCCACGGCUAACUACGUG
Molecule: ribosomal RNA, 497 nt
Filed under: uncultured bacterium
Lineage: Bacteria
Description: partial 16S ribosomal RNA
Rfam family: Bacterial small subunit ribosomal RNA
Source: RNAcentral